Molecule: ribosomal RNA, 303 nt
Filed under: uncultured Alphaproteobacteria bacterium
Lineage: Bacteria; Pseudomonadati; Pseudomonadota; Alphaproteobacteria
Description: partial 16S ribosomal RNA
Rfam family: Bacterial small subunit ribosomal RNA
Source: RNAcentral
AACUUUGGAACUGCAAUUAAAACUGCUCGACUAGAGUUUGAUAGAGGAAAGCGGAAUACAUAGUGUAGAGGUGAAAUUCGUAGAUAUUAUGUAGAACACCAGUUGCGAAGGCGGCUUUCUGGAUCACACUGACGCUGANNNCGAAAGUAUGGGUAGCAAAGAGGAUUAGAUACCCUCGUAGUCCAUACCAUAAACGAUGAUUGCUAGAUGUUGGAAAUUUAUUUUCAGUAUCGCAGCUAACNCAUUAAGCAAUCCGCCUGGGGAGUACNNCCGCAAGUUAAAACUCAAAUGAAUUGACNGGGA